GACGAACGCUGGCGGCGUGCUUAACACAUGCAAGUCGAACGGAAAGGCCCUGCUUUUGUGGGGUGCUCGAGUGGCGAACGGGUGAGUAACACGUGAGUAACCUGCCCUUGACUUUGGGAUAACUUCAGGAAACUGGGGCUAAUACCGGAUAGGAGCUCCUGCUGCAUGGUGGGGGUUGGAAAGUUUCGGCCGUUGGGGAUGGACUCGCGGCUUAUCAGCUUGUUGGUGGGGGAGUGGCUUACCAAGGCUUUGACGGGUAGCCGGCCUGAGAGGGUGACCGGGCACAUUGGGACUGAGGGACGGCCCAGACUCCUACGGGAGGCAGCAGUGGGGAAUAUUGCACAAUGGGCGGAAGCCUGAUGAAGCAACGCCGCGUGCGGGAUGACGGCCUUCGGGUUGUAAACCGCUUUCGCCUGUGACGAAGCGUGAGUGACGGUAAUGGGUAAAGAAGCACCGGCUAACUACGUG
RNAcentral lists this ribosomal RNA (468 nucleotides) under uncultured bacterium. Its description in RNAcentral is "partial 16S ribosomal RNA". It matches the Rfam family "Bacterial small subunit ribosomal RNA", at positions 28 to 507 of the family's 1533-position model. The record is from RNAcentral.